Molecule: ribosomal RNA, 1137 nt
Filed under: Bacillus subtilis
Lineage: Bacteria; Bacillati; Bacillota; Bacilli; Caryophanales; Bacillaceae
Description: bacterial SSU rRNA
Rfam family: Bacterial small subunit ribosomal RNA
Source: RNAcentral
GGGUAACCUGCCUGUAAGACUGGGAUAACUCCGGGAAACCGGGGCUAAUACCGGAUGCUUGUUUGAACCGCAUGGUUCAAACAUAAAAGGUGGCUUCGGCUACCACUUACAGAUGGACCCGCGGCGCAUUAGCUAGUUGGUGAGGUAAUGGCUCACCAAGGCGACGAUGCGUAGCCGACCUGAGAGGGUGAUCGGCCACACUGGGACUGAGACACGGCCCAGACUCCUACGGGAGGCAGCAGUAGGGAAUCUUCCGCAAUGGACGAAAGUCUGACGGAGCAACGCCGCGUGAGUGAUGAAGGUUUUCGGAUCGUAAAGCUCUGUUGUUAGGGAAGAACAAGUACCGUUCGAAUAGGGCGGUACCUUGACGGUACCUAACCAGAAAGCCACGGCUAACUACGUGCCAGCAGCCGCGGUAAUACGUAGGUGGCAAGCGUUGUCCGGAAUUAUUGGGCGUAAAGGGCUCGCAGGCGGUUUCUUAAGUCUGAUGUGAAAGCCCCCGGCUCAACCGGGGAGGGUCAUUGGAAACUGGGGGAACUUGAGUGCAGAAGAGGAGAGUGGAAAUUCCACGUGUAGCGGUGAAAUGCGUAGAGAUGUGGAGGAACACCAGUGGCGAAGGCGACUCUCUGGUCUGUAACUGACGCUGAGGAGCGAAAGCGUGGGGAGCGAACAGGAUUAGAUACCCUGGUAGUCCACGCCGUAAACGAUGAGUGCUAAGUGUUAGGGGGUUUCCGCCCCUUAGUGCUGCAGCUAACGCAUUAAGCACUCCGCCUGGGGAGUACGGUCGCAAGACUGAAACUCAAAGGAAUUGACGGGGGCCCGCACAAGCGGUGGAGCAUGUGGUUUAAUUCGAAGCAACGCGAAGAACCUUACCAGGUCUUGACAUCCUCUGACAAUCCUAGAGAUAGGACGUCCCCUUCGGGGGCAGAGUGACAGGUGGUGCAUGGUUGUCGUCAGCUCGUGUCGUGAGAUGUUGGGUUAAGUCCCGCAACGAGCGCAACCCUUGAUCUUAGUUGCCAGCAUUCAGUUGGGCACUCUAAGGUGACUGCCGGUGACAAACCGGAGGAAGGUGGGGAUGACGUCAAAUCAUCAUGCCCCUUAUGACCUGGGCUACACACGUGCUACAAUGGACAGAAC